Molecule: long non-coding RNA, 676 nt
Organism: Oreochromis aureus
Lineage: Eukaryota; Metazoa; Chordata; Actinopteri; Cichliformes; Cichlidae
Source: Ensembl
GGUGUGUGUGUUGAGAUUGAGAAGGAGAGAACGUGGCGGAGAGACACGAGUGUUAGUUCAGCACGUGCGAGACACUUGGUUUUGUUUACUAUGGUUGACUCUAAGAGUGUGUGACGAGACGUUAACAGUGUGGGGUGACAUUCCCGAGACUUGCACCACGUGUAGAACUGUGUUUUCAGCUGCAACUGCUGAGGUUAAACGUUAGUCGCGACUACUCGUCUGAUCAACGGAGGCUGCUGUUAUGGACCAUCGGAGAGCUGUAAAGUGACUUGCUGACGCACUGUAGCAGAGACAGCGCGGUGUCCUCAGGAGGAACUGGAUUCAGUGUGGGACUGGCAAGGGGUUUACGGUUAGUUUCCCUGAUUCCUGUCCAUACCAGAACCAUUGUGGAAUCUGUUCUAAUAACGAACCCAACACCCAACAUAGUGGGUCUAAACUGAUGUAGGAGGGUUUAGACUCAGUAUAACAGGUGUCUGACACAUCUUCUUGUGGAUCUGGUUACCCACUAGCAGAGAAUGCACAGAAAACUUUCCUUACCAUUACUUAAAAUGAUAAACCUGUAAUACCACAAGUUCAUCACACCAAACCUCAUUAGAUCUAAGGUAAGCUUAUUAUUGGAUUGGAUUAUUUUUUUUGCCCUUUUUCCCCGUCCCUCUUCCCCGCUGUUUUUCUUUCC